CUAAGUCAAUUCCCAUACCCCUGGCUCAAUGGGAGACAGACAUCAAGUGGGAGGAGGAUACAAAGUUGAGAGUCAGUCAUGAAUCCUUACAAAGGCACUGAGAAAUAUGUGACUGAGUGCUGUGGGGGUCCAGAAUGCUUCACACAGUAUGCCUCGUGGGUGCUACCAUCAAAACAGAACCUUGGGCUGGUUGGAUCCAAGUCUGACUCAGCAAGCAAUUCUGAACAUUAUUUCAAGUCAAGAGCUGGGAGGAUAAAAGUUUUCAUCCACUUCAAGAAGAAAAACACAUCUUCAUGGGCUUUUGUUUUUCUUUUUAGAAUAUCUGCUAAACUAUGAUAGAAGAAAUGCAGGCUUAUUUUCGAAACAACUCUGAUUCUCAAUGAGCUAAAUAGAAAAAUGUGACUCAGAUCCAACGAAGACAUUUAAAUGAUAGUUCAGAAAGAAUCCAAAAGAGAAGACCAUACUAGAAAAUGUUAUUUCCUUCAUAGUAGUGGAUCUUAACCAGAAUCAUCUGAGAAGCUUUUAAAAGCACAGAUGCCUUAAUUAGAUGCCAAAACAAAAUUAGCCAGGAAAACAAUAAGAGAAGAAUGAGAUGGGACUAGCCUCACAAAUAUUACAACACUGUAAGUAGCUCCAGCAACUAAAUAGUUAUUGGCAAAUGAAUAAACAAACUAACAGAACAGAACUGAAAGCGCAGAGGCUUUAAAAGGAUAAAAAUGGCAUCAAAUUAAGGGGUAGAGAGAGGAUGGAAAGGAAAAAAAUGUGGGUAAAUUGGGUAGCCUUCAGGGAAAAAAGUUAGAUCCAUGCCUCAUACCCUAUGCCAGGAUAAAUUCUAAACAGAUUACAGAUUCAAAUACAAAAAUCAAAGCCCUACAAGUAUUAGAAGAAAAAUGGAAGAAUUCUUUCAUAAUUAAAGUCUUUCUACUUAACAACUAUAAAAAAUUUCAAAUUAUACUAUAUCUAAUUAAAAAAUUUUGCAU
Molecule: long non-coding RNA, 980 nt
Organism: Mustela erminea (ermine)
Lineage: Eukaryota; Metazoa; Chordata; Mammalia; Carnivora; Mustelidae
Exons: 3
Source: RefSeq, a predicted model, not a curated record